CUCAGCAGGUUCAAACAGGACAGUGUGAGAAAAAAAGCAAGUUUCCUACAUUUUCCGGCUCACCUUCUCAAUUCUACCAGUUUCUAGGAUCUGAGCCCCUUUUCUCCUGAUUAAUCCACUGCAGGCCUAGAGCCAAGCUGCCCUGUUUAUUAAAAGGGGAUACCCACUACAGCGUCCACUGCAGAUGCACUUCAAGAUUUCAAAGACUUCCAGCCACAAGAAGACGGCAAGUGAAGAAAAUAGAAGAAAGUGAAUAGUAGCUCAUGGGAAAACUCUCGGGAAUCAUGCUAGGGAAGAUUCUGACAGAGGUGAACUUCAAGCAAGUCAACUAGAGAUAAAAACAUGAAGUAUCACGUGAAAUCUUAGUCACAGGAUGGUGAAAAUGAGAAAACUUGGAAUAUUUUCACACUUGGAAGACUGCUUUCUGCAUUAAACCAAGUCCUAGAGGCAUCAUUCUUCAAGCAGGAAAUUACUGCUGCUGCUGGAUGGGGCCAUUUGGUUACAGCACGCGAUGGAUGGUUUGAUGAUUUCAAGGCAAAGUCUUGAGAACUUCUUAAGAAUUGAGAGACCAAUCUGCUGAGCUUAUGAAAAGAAAGCAACAAAAAACUGAAUAACCAAUUCUAAAGGCCAAAACAGUUG
Molecule: long non-coding RNA, 639 nt
Organism: Pan troglodytes (chimpanzee)
Lineage: Eukaryota; Metazoa; Chordata; Mammalia; Primates; Hominidae
Exons: 5
Source: RefSeq, a predicted model, not a curated record